This 1212-nucleotide long non-coding RNA is filed under the name Cucumis sativus (cucumber). RNAcentral's name for it is "long non-coding RNA (CSAT_LNC002536)". Lineage: Eukaryota; Viridiplantae; Streptophyta; Magnoliopsida; Cucurbitales; Cucurbitaceae. The record is from RNAcentral.
UUCUUUUCACCCUUCAUUCAAAAUAAAAUUUGAAGAAUAGAAAGGUCAAUACCAAAAAAUAGUUAAAAUGGCAGGCAACACCAACAAAACCCUUGUUAUUCUGAUGAUAGCUAUGAUCAUGGCUUGUUCAUUGAUUGAAAACCCAACAAACGCAACCUCUCUCGGUUAUGGUGUCAUUGGUAAAGGAGACGCAAGAUGUAAAGAUGGUAAAUGUGAAAUAUUAGGAGAUCCAGCCAAUAAUUAUACAAGAGGAUGUGAGCCUGAAGAACACUGUAGAUCUGGAUCAUCUGGAUCACCUGAUCAAUGAUUCACAACAUUUGCUUUCCACAUCUCUAUUCCACCAUUUUAUAUCUUAUCUCUCUUCCAAUUAUGACCAUGGUGUAAAACAAGUGUGUGCAUGUCAUUCAUUCAUAUAUGGUAUUGAUUGGACAUUUCUUUGAUAUUUAAUUUAUUAAUUCAAUGGUUUUAUUAGUAUGUUGGAUUUGUUAUAUCUCCCUUUUUUUUUGUGUAUGUUUCUUAAUAUUCUUUUCAGUUUUCCUCCUCUCGAUCAAGAAGAUAGUAGUUCGAUAUGAUUUUUAAUUAAUAAUUUAGACUUUUUAAAGCUAAAAUUUAAUUAAUAAUUUGCUUUGUAAAGGGUAUAAAGUAAGGCUAAAGGGGGUGAGAGAGGAGAUAAAGAAAAAAGUAGACAAAAUCAAAUGGAACCAAAUGGAAUUACGAAAGGACGUUGACACGUUAGAUUGUUAAUUACAUAUAAAAUUGAUUUUUCGAUCCAAUCCGACUUUAAUUUUAUGUUAAAAAUCAUGAAAGAUCAAACAUGUAUAUAGCCAUCUUAAUUAAUACAUAUGUGUUAUUUAAUACACAUGUGUGAAGGAUAAGAGUGAUUAUUAUUAACCAUACAUUAAUCAUUCGACUUGCCAUGCAAUUACAGGUUACUAAAUUAGAUUAACAUUUUAAUUAUCAAAUUUUUAUUAGAGAAAACCACUUUUUGUGUAAACAGUUUGUAAUUAGACUUAAUUUAGAAAGAAUAUAACAUUUUAUGGACACCACUUUGUUUAAUUUUGAAAUGACCAAAUCAAACGGCUCUCUUUCUCCUCUCUUCCGACGAUCAUUUCUCUCCUUCAUCCUUUUUCUCUAUACAGAUUAGAUUUAUUUGUCCUUAAUUGACAAAUAAAUAUUAGUGAAUGUAAAUUUAUUUCUACACCAUUGAAUUAA